CUCUGUCUUUCUCUCUUAAAUAAUAAAUAAAUCUUUUCCUAAAAAUCUGAAGAAAAUACACUCUAGACCAAGAGAACAGCAGGAGUAAAGACUAAAAAGAGAGUCUGCUGUGGUGGAAAGCCAAACUAAGACAAAGGGCAAAGGCAGUGAUGGUUCCAGGACACCCAUGGUGGCCAGCGUCGCGCUGGGAUUGCUACAGUUUAACCCUUCCCCUGGGGCAACGAAUGCUCUCUGUUCAUGUCGUGAACCAGUUCAGGAUGGCGCGAUGGCUGAUCAACCUGGGGCAAAG
RNAcentral lists this long non-coding RNA (289 nucleotides) under Mustela putorius furo (domestic ferret). Its description in RNAcentral is "lncRNA (ENSMPUG00000024035.1)". The record is from RNAcentral. Lineage: Eukaryota; Metazoa; Chordata; Mammalia; Carnivora; Mustelidae.